Grammomys surdaster is the source of this 457-nucleotide long non-coding RNA. RefSeq lists it as uncharacterized. The transcript has 3 exons. The record is from RefSeq and is a predicted model, not a curated record. NCBI's taxonomy places the organism in Eukaryota, Metazoa, Chordata, Mammalia, Rodentia, Muridae.
GCGGGGGCCGCCUCUAGUCCCCGGGAGAAGCCAAGAAGCCUGCCGGAGACUAGGUUGCUGCCUUGCCAAGAGCUAUCCUGGCAGGACUAUUGAAAGAGCUUUGAGGUGGCAGCCGGCUCCUUGCAGCUGGGAGUGUCCAGAAACACAUUUGACAUUCCAGUAUCCUGUGCUUGCAUGUUUGUCUGUGGGUGCCUCCUGGCGACACGGGGAUUGGGGGGGCAAGAAGGAAGCUGGAGAUCACUUUCCCUGUGGCCGCCUUUCUGGCCUGGUCUCAGGCAGGCAUUUGGAUGGCCUCUGUAUGGUUUACUGAAGUCACCAUCAUGAUGUCUUCUUUAAGAGUCUGAGCUCAUCACAGAAUCCCCAGAGAGAACUUCUCAUAACCAGAACGGUCCCCCAAAAUGCAUUCGAAUUUGUUCCUCUAUAUGUCUUUAUGUCUAAUAAAUAUGUCCCAAAUGAA